CCCUUAGAUGUUCUGGGCUGCACGCGCGCUACACUGAUGCGCUCAACGAGUUUUAACCUUGCCUGGAAAGGUUGGGUAAUCUUUUUAAAACGCAUCGUGAUGGGGAUAGAUUAUUGCAAUUAUUAAUCUUCAACGAGGAAUUCCUAGUAAGCGCGAGUCAUCAGCUCGUGCUGAUUACGUCCCUGCCCUUUGUACACACCGCCCGUCGCUCCUACCGAUUGAAUGGUCCGGUGAAAUCUCCGGACUGGCGUGAGUCGGAGCAAUCUGACAAACACCGGAAAGUUGAUUAAACCUUACCAUUUAGAGGAAGGUGAAGUCGUAACA
Molecule: ribosomal RNA, 324 nt
Filed under: uncultured eukaryote
Lineage: Eukaryota
Description: partial 18S ribosomal RNA
Rfam family: Eukaryotic small subunit ribosomal RNA
Source: RNAcentral